CUGCAGCCAAUUAAGCCGACCAGCGCCCCUCCCCGUGGGAACCUGGUGUGCAGUGGCUGCAGACAGCAGUCUCCUUGGUAGUAUACGUGGCCUGUCGCCUGUACGGGGUACCCUAAGGGACCUUGGAGGCAGCU
Molecule: small nucleolar RNA, 134 nt
Filed under: Dasypus novemcinctus (nine-banded armadillo)
Lineage: Eukaryota; Metazoa; Chordata; Mammalia; Cingulata; Dasypodidae
Description: Small nucleolar RNA SNORA70 (ENSDNOG00000041728.1)
Rfam family: Small nucleolar RNA SNORA70
About the family: snoRNA U70 seems to be exclusive to mammals and is a member of the H/ACA class of snoRNA which contain H (ANANNA) and ACA box motifs.
Source: RNAcentral